CCUUUAUAAGUUGGUCAUCAGUCAGUUUGGAGAUAUGGGUUGUUCCCACAGUCAAUAUUUGGUGGUUUCCAACAGCAACGGGCUUGUGUACGGAAGAAAA
This is a non-coding RNA of Tinamus guttatus (white-throated tinamou), 100 nucleotides long. The record is from RefSeq and is a predicted model, not a curated record. NCBI's taxonomy places the organism in Eukaryota, Metazoa, Chordata, Aves, Tinamiformes, Tinamidae.